This 222-nucleotide RNase MRP RNA is filed under the name Ramazzottius varieornatus. RNAcentral describes it as "RNase MRP". It matches the Rfam family "RNase MRP". From Rfam's summary of the family: RNase MRP is an enzymatically active ribonucleoprotein with two distinct roles in eukaryotes. In mitochondria it plays a direct role in the initiation of mitochondrial DNA replication. The record is from Rfam by way of RNAcentral. Lineage: Eukaryota; Metazoa; Tardigrada; Eutardigrada; Parachela; Ramazzottiidae.
UGGCGUGCGGUUUGACGACUAUCCGAGCUUGCGCGGAAGGCAUGUCCUUCAGUUCGCUUGGGAGAAAGUCCCCAGAUGACGUGCAGAGAGUGCAAUUGCGAAAGCGAACUGAUCAGGUGACCAAUCGACGGUGAAGCUCAGACUGAGCUUCCCAUCACAGCAUUUAGUUAUGUUGUUGGUCACUUCGUGAUACAAUUCAAUGGGGCUUAUCAAUCUCACGCC